GGUGGAAUCGACCCACCAGAAUCUGCUUAUAGGAGCUGGUUCUAAACCACUUUUCUGAUGCAUUCAAAGUAAUUUGUUUGUGUGAAGCGAGAGAAGAAAAGGCAGGCUAGAUUUGUCAGGU
Leeuwenhoekiella marinoflava DSM 3653 is the source of this 121-nucleotide non-coding RNA. NCBI's taxonomy places the organism in Bacteria, Pseudomonadati, Bacteroidota, Flavobacteriia, Flavobacteriales, Flavobacteriaceae. The record is from Rfam.